RNAcentral lists this ribosomal RNA (603 nucleotides) under uncultured fungus. RNAcentral's name for it is "eukaryotic LSU rRNA". It matches the Rfam family "Eukaryotic large subunit ribosomal RNA", at positions 23 to 641 of the family's 3401-position model. Lineage: Eukaryota; Fungi. The record is from RNAcentral.
ACCCGCUGAACUUAAGCAUAUCAAUAAGCGGAGGAAAAGAAACCAACAGGGAUUGCCCUAGUAACGGCGAGUGAAGCGGCAACAGCUCAAAUUUGAAAUCUGGCGUCUUUGGCGUCCGAGUUGUAAUUUGCAGAGGGCGCUUUGGCAUUGGCAGCGGUCCAAGUUCCUUGGAACAGGACGUCACAGAGGGUGAGAAUCCCGUACGUGGUCGCUAGCCUUUACCGUGUAAAGCCCCUUCGACGAGUCGAGUUGUUUGGGAAUGCAGCUCUAAAUGGGAGGUAAAUUUCUUCUAAAGCUAAAUACUGGCCAGAGACCGAUAGCGCACAAGUAGAGUGAUCGAAAGAUGAAAAGCACUUUGGAAAGAGAGUUAAAAAGCACGUGAAAUUGUUGAAAGGGAAGCGCUUGCAGCCAGACUUGCCUGUAGUUGCUCAUCCGGGUUUUUACCCGGUGCACUCUUCUAUAGGCAGGCCAGCAUCAGCUUGGGCGGUUGGAUAAAGGUCUCUGUCAUGUACCUCUCUUCGGGGAGAACUUAUAGGGGAGACGACAUGCAACCAGCCCGGACUGAGGUCCGCGCAUCUGCUAGGAUGCUGGCGUAAUGGCUGU